GAUGAACGCUGGCGGCGUGCCUAAUACAUGCAAGUCGAGCGAACGGACGAGAAGCUUGCUUCUCUGAUGUUAGCGGCGGACGGGUGAGUAACACGUGUAUACCCUACCUAUAAGACUGGUAUAACUUCGGGAAACCGGAGCUAAUACCGUAUAAUAUUCUGAACCGCAUGGUUCAAAAGUGAAAGACGGUCUUGCUGUCACUUAUAGAUGGAUCCGCGCUGCAUUAGCUAGUUGGUAAGUUAACGGCCUACCAAGGCAACGAGGCAUAGCCGACGUGAGAGAGUGAUAGGCCACACUGGAACUGAGACACGGUCCAGACGCCUACGAGAGGCAGCAGUAGGGAAUCUUCCGCAAUGGGCGAAAGCCUGACGGAGCAAGGCCGCGUGAGUGAUGACGGUCUUCCGAGCGUAAAACUCUGUUAUUAGGUGAGAACAUAUGUGUAAGUAACUGUGCACAUCUUGACGGUACCUAAUCAGAAAGCCACGGCUAACUACGUG
RNAcentral lists this ribosomal RNA (497 nucleotides) under uncultured bacterium. Its description in RNAcentral is "partial 16S ribosomal RNA". It matches the Rfam family "Bacterial small subunit ribosomal RNA", at positions 28 to 507 of the family's 1533-position model. The record is from RNAcentral.